Molecule: non-coding RNA, 310 nt
Organism: Pelobates cultripes (western spadefoot toad)
Lineage: Eukaryota; Metazoa; Chordata; Amphibia; Anura; Pelobatidae
Source: the annotation of a GenBank genome assembly
CCAAAAUAUUGGGACAUAUAAUAAAAGACAACUCUGUUCCGCAGAGUAGCUGUUGACAUUAUAGUUGCGCAGGCACUUUGCUGACUCUAGAGAACCUCGGGCAAUCGCACAUCCCCGUGGCGGCGACUUUGCAUGCAGAUGUCAUCCAUAUCAACUUUCGAUGCCAGUUUCUGCGCCUACCAUGGUGACCACGGGUAACGGGGAAUCAGGGUUCCAUUCCAUACAGGGACCCUGAGAAAUGGCUACCUCAUGCAAGGAAGGCAGCAGGCGCGCAAAUGACCCACUCCCGACGCGGGAAGGACUUUAUAGG